GGGCUUGUUUCUCAGCACGUUUGUUAAUAUUAGAACGAUAGAGGGAAAGUCAGCAUGGCCCCUGCUCAAGGACAACAUAUAACUCCAAGACAUGCUGCAAAUUUUA
Acomys russatus (golden spiny mouse) is the source of this 106-nucleotide small nuclear RNA. NCBI's taxonomy places the organism in Eukaryota, Metazoa, Chordata, Mammalia, Rodentia, Muridae. The record is from RefSeq and is a predicted model, not a curated record.